This is a long non-coding RNA of Rhopalosiphum padi (bird cherry-oat aphid), 2258 nucleotides long. RefSeq lists it as uncharacterized. The record is from RefSeq and is a predicted model, not a curated record. Lineage: Eukaryota; Metazoa; Arthropoda; Insecta; Hemiptera; Aphididae. The transcript is spliced from 3 exons.
UUUCCGCGCGUACGCGUGUCCCGGUGUCCAACAUCGACAUUUCAUUUAUUAUAUUUUAUUAACGCAGCGUCCGAUUUACGUAUACGAAGAUAUCGCAUCGCGUUUAAUAAAACAUACCUUUAUACCGAUAUAUCGCGCAUGUCUUGCCAUGCUAUAUUGUCCGCGUACCAUCCAAAUAAAAUAAUAUUUUAAUCAUAUUUAUCCGUACGAUUGCCGUUAUGUCAUAAUAAUACGAUGAAGUUUUGAUGGAGCUAGGACGUCGGUGGCGGCAGCCCUACAAAUAUAAUAGUCAUCCGUCGCGGUUUACAAACAACCGUUUCGGUUCGACAUAUCGGUUUCAACAAUAAUAAUAAAAUACGCAAUUUCAAUAAUUACGCGGACGCGAGACCCUAUAUACACUCUACGCCAGAAAACAAUACUCAUAUAAUAAGAUAUAUCUGUGUAUGAUAUUACCUAACAUUAAGACACCGCAGCUUCCACCGUGUUCAUAAUCCUCUCGGCUACUGGACCACAACGAAACGUAUUUAAGGACCCGCCUCCCACAGUACUGAGCAGCAGUAGUAUUAUAAUAUUGACAUUAUAAAUGUGGCGCCAAUCAAACAUCAGUUGAUCGCAGCUAUAGUAGUACUGGUACUGUUCAUACUGAAGAUAGUUAAUAAAUAUUUCGCAUUUCUAAAUGGAUGGAGCUCAGAGAAAUUUCAGUAUGAUGGCCGAGAAAAUCGAUAGAAUGCGAUGUUUAAGGGAACGAUGCGACAAUUAUGUCAGACUAAUAAAACUAACACUUGAUGAAACAAUCAAAGAACAAAAUUCGCUUUUGGAUGGAUCAGCAAUUCAUAAUAGACUAAAAUACUUAGGCGUAUUAGAUAAACCUAAAUCAUUAUCAAACACAUUCAAUACUGAUAAAUAUCAUAAGAAUAUAGAUUAUAAUCAAUUUACAAGACUAAUAAGAUUAGUUAUAUAUUACAAUAUUAGUGUUGCAUAGGGAUAUUGCACUAUGUUGAAAUGUUGGGAUUUACAUGAUGACAAGACACUGAAUGUCUGUAUAUUGAUGCAAAGUAUUAUACAUACAUAUUAUUAUACAUUUAUAGGUAUUUUUGUAGUAUGUGGUCUACCAUACACUUGUUGUCUACCACGGAUAUACUGAGUCAUUCCUAUCUAGUCGACACUGGCUACGAUAAUAAACUUAAUCUUAAUCAAAGUUUCUAUUAAAUAUGUUAAUUUCUUGCCAAAAAUUUAAAUAGAAUUAUUCAGUCAGAGGUAAAUACUUUUAUACAUUUUUAAAGAAAAAUUGACUUAUUCAAAUUGAUACUCAUAUUUCUUAGCAGAAUGAUGGUGGAACAAUUAUAAAGACAACUCAUUUGAAUGUUUUAUAUGAGACAUCAAAUCAUAAUAAAUAUUUUAUAGUAAAUAUUUGUAUAGAUAUUUAUAAUAUACUAUAUACCUAUACGUAUUGCUUUUUUAAUUUAAUAUAAAAAACAUAUGGAAUAGCAUAUACGACAAGAAUACCCAUUUAUACAUGAUUUAAUUACUAUAUUAGUUAUCCAAUGAAGGAUAUUUCUGGGUAUAUUAUCCCAUAUGGAUAUAUUCUUUUCCGUAAUUGAAGAUCUAGACUAUUGCAAAUAGAUUAUUCAAUUAUUCAAUUAUUGGUAUACUAAAAAUAGUUGACACUGUUCUUAACAUAAUAUGAAAAUGACGUCGGAGGCAGUUGCCCCCUUUGCCACCCGUUAGACACGGCAUUGAUCGUUUAUAUUAUUAUAUUAUAUAAUAAUUAAUAAUAUAUAAUCAAUAGAGAACGGAUUUUAAUUUAAAUAAAUAUUUUUUAUAUCAUUUUAAUAUCGGAGAGUUUUUAACAUAUUAUGUGUACCUACGUUUCAUUUAAUUUUGAAUAAGCUGAUGCUAAUUUUAUUUUAAAUAUAUUCAAAUAUUUUAGAAUAAUUAAAUAUUUUAUAAAUAAAUAUACGUAAUCUGUAUUAUUGUAGAAUUUCCUAAAGAAAUUGGAGUUUUAACCAAUUCUAAAUUACAAAACCUAUUGUAAAAAAAAACCCCAGGAUUUAACGCCGCAAUGUCGAUAAGGGAUAUACUAUUAAGUAAAACUCCAAAAAACAAUUUAGAAAUAUAAUACAAUCUAAAAGAAUUCACGUGUAUGGGUGUAUCGUGUAUGAAAUAUGCACCUAUCACUUCUGUUGAUGUGGAGAGUUUAUUUAGCAUUUUAGCCAUUAUGAAGCAAUAUUAAGAUUUUUAAAUUUGAAAAUCUCAAA